AACAGAAGUGAGGAGGAGGAGGAGGAGGGGGAGGAGGAGGAGGAGUCGUGUUUCAAAGAUCUUUUUGCAAUCAAUAUCUGACAAUGAAAGUAAUGUUUAGCACAAAUAUUUAAUAAAAGAAAGGAAUUAAAGGGAUAUAUCACUU
Long non-coding RNA from Salarias fasciatus (jewelled blenny), 145 nucleotides. RefSeq lists it as uncharacterized. The transcript has 2 exons. The record is from RefSeq and is a predicted model, not a curated record. NCBI's taxonomy places the organism in Eukaryota, Metazoa, Chordata, Actinopteri, Blenniiformes, Blenniidae.